CUGUCACCCAGGCUGGAGUGCAGUGGUGCAGUCAUAGCUCACCGUAACCUCGACCACCUGGGCUCAAGCUAUUCUCCUGCCUCAGCCUCCCAAGCAGCUGAAACUGUAAGUGCAUGCCACCGCACCCAGACAACUUCCUGAGACCAUCCACCCUCCCUGCCAGGCAGAGACUUUGUCCAAGCUGACCUCCCUGCUGUGUCUCCUCUUCUUCUCCGGCAGCCACAGCACACUCAUCCUGUAAGCAGGUGGUACAGCCAGCAUGCUGCCCUGCUCUGCUGAGCUGAGCAUGGGUAAGACUUACUAAAAUGAUAACUUCCACUUUUACUGCAAGAAGCCCUGUGUUUGCUGUAGCGGGCUGAAAAGAUGCUGUCAUUUUUCACAUUUCCUCUUUCAUGAAAACUUCAGAGAACACGGCCCAAGUCCCAUUCUCUUCACUAAGCCUUCCCUGGCUAUUCUAGUUCACAGUGAUUUACAGCGAAAUAAGGAGUCAUUCUCUAAUCAUUUUAUUCAACAUCCUUUCAACAAUUUUAUUGAAAGCCUAGUAUGUGCUGAAUACUAUUAAGGAGCUAGAGAAAAAGUUCCUACCUCCAUGGAAUCUAUAUUCUAGCAAUUUAUGGUACUGAUUGUAUAUGGUACUAUAUCCAUGAAAUUCUGUCUGUGCUACUUUUGUUUCCAUUGUUAUAGUGUAAUUUGUUAUUUGAGAAUGGAGGCUCUCUUACAUCUUUUUCCAUUAUCACUAACACUGUCUUUAAUGCAGUGUAAACCAAAUGGUAAGUGUUUAAGGAAUAUUUGUAUAUGACUUAUUCAGAGAUUAAGUAAUAAUAAUCUGCACCAAAUUCUGAGAACUAACUGUAUGCUAUGUACUGAUCUGCUUUAUUUAC
RNAcentral lists this long non-coding RNA (881 nucleotides) under Homo sapiens (human). RNAcentral describes it as "HSALNT0247293". The record is from RNAcentral. Lineage: Eukaryota; Metazoa; Chordata; Mammalia; Primates; Hominidae.